Non-coding RNA from Brachypodium distachyon (stiff brome), 125 nucleotides. The record is from Rfam. NCBI's taxonomy places the organism in Eukaryota, Viridiplantae, Streptophyta, Magnoliopsida, Poales, Poaceae.
UUAGUACUCCCUCCGUUUCAUAAUUCUUGUCUUAAAUUUGUCUAAAAACGAAUGUAUCUAUUCCUAAAAGGUGUCUAGAUACAUGUAAGAUUUCGACAAAAAUUAUGGAACGGAGAAAGUAAUAA